Molecule: ribosomal RNA, 450 nt
Filed under: uncultured bacterium
Lineage: Bacteria
Description: bacterial SSU rRNA
Rfam family: Bacterial small subunit ribosomal RNA
Source: RNAcentral
UGACCAGACUCCUACGGGAGGCAGCAGUGGGGAAUAUUGCACAAUGGGGGAAACCCUGAUGCAGCGACGCCGCGUGAGUGAAGAAGUCUCUCGGUACGUAAAGCUCUAUCAGCAGGGAAGAAAAUGACGAUACCUGACUAAGAAGCCCCGGCUAACUACGUGCCAGCAGCCGCGGUAAUACGUAGGGGGCAAGCGUUAUCCGGAUUUACUGGGUGUAAAGGGAGCGUAGACGGCAGCACAAGUCUGGAGUGAAAGCCCGGGGCUUAACCCCGGAACUGCUUUGGAAACUGUGCGGCUGGAGUGCAGGAGGGGUAAGCGGAAUUCCUAGUGUAGCGGUGAAAUGCGUAGAUAUUAGGAGGAACACCGGUGGCGAAGGCGGCUUACUGGACUGUAACUGACGUUGAGGCUCGAAAGCGUGGGGAGCAAACAGGAUUAGAUACCCUGGUACUA